AACGAUACCGAAGAAAUCUGUGGGUGUCUCCAAAGCCGAGAUCGAAAUUGAUCCAAGAAGAAGAAGAAGAAGAAGAAAGAGAAGAGAGAGAAGAGAGAGCCUAAUCUUCAGUCAAAAUUUAAGUGAUCUAAUAUACAGAUCAAGCCCGAGCCGAAUAACAAGGAGUCAAGUAGAGCUCACGAGUUCUCAAACAAAACUCUUGAUAAAAGAUUCUUAAGUUUUCAUCUACCA
Molecule: long non-coding RNA, 231 nt
Filed under: Elaeis guineensis (African oil palm)
Lineage: Eukaryota; Viridiplantae; Streptophyta; Magnoliopsida; Arecales; Arecaceae
Description: long non-coding RNA (EGUI_LNC002555)
Source: RNAcentral